GAUUAGUGGCGAACGGGUGAGUAACACGUGAGCAAUCUGCCCUUGACUCUGGGAUAACUGCGGGAAACUGUAGCUAAUACCGGAUACGACACCUUGGGGCAUCCCAGGGUGUGGAAAGAAUUUCGGUCAAGGAUGAGCUCGCGGCCUAUCAGCUUGUUGGUGAGGUAAUGGCUCACCAAGGCGACGACGGGUAGCCGGCCUGAGAGGGUGACCGGCCACACUGGAACUGAGACACGGUCCAAACUCCUACGGGAGGCAGCAGUGGGGAAUAUUGCACAAUGGGCGAAAGCCUGAUGCAGCAACGCCGCGUGAGGGAUGACGACGUUCGGGUUGUAAACCUCUUUAGCAGGGAAGAAGCGAAA
This 362-nucleotide ribosomal RNA is filed under the name uncultured bacterium. Its description in RNAcentral is "bacterial SSU rRNA". It matches the Rfam family "Bacterial small subunit ribosomal RNA", at positions 90 to 455 of the family's 1533-position model. The record is from RNAcentral.